RNAcentral lists this ribosomal RNA (301 nucleotides) under uncultured bacterium. RNAcentral describes it as "partial 16S ribosomal RNA". It matches the Rfam family "Bacterial small subunit ribosomal RNA", at positions 509 to 809 of the family's 1533-position model. The record is from RNAcentral.
CAGUAGCCGCGGGAAUACGGAGGAUCCGAGCGUUAUCCGGAAUUAUUGGGUUUAAAGGGUGCGUAGGCGGAUAGAUAAGUCAGUGGUGAAAGACGGUGGCUCAACCAUCGCAGUGCCGUUGAUACUGUUUAUCUUGAAUAUGGAUGAGGUAGGCGGAAUGUGGCAAGUAGCGGUGAAAUGCAUAGAUAUGCCACAGAACACCGAUUGCGAAGGCAGCUUACCAAGGCAAAAUUGACGCUGAGGCACGAAAGCGUGGGGAUCGAACAGGAUUAGAUACCCCCGUAGUCCCUGUCUCUUAUAA